UGUUUCUACCAAUAAACAGAAACUAAAAUAUAAACUAUGCUCCAAUGAACUAAUUUUCUUUUUUUUACUGCUAUUUGUCUUCUCUUUUAGAAAAUUAUUAUUAUAUGUUUAUUUGAAUUCUGUAGUUUUUUGUUUUCUAAUUUGAAUAUUAAUUCUCCUUAUCCCAAUUGUGAGAUUACCCCAGCACUUAAUUAUUUUGAUUUCUCUUUCUCUAUCCUAUGAAUUCUUGUUUUAUUUUUAUCGUUUUAAACAUAAUCUAUUGAGGGAAAGUUAAGUAAUUUUCUGUAUUCCCUAAACCUAGAGAUAUCAAAGCAGGAAAUAUCCUUCUGACAGAACCAGGCCAGGUGAAACUUGCUGACUUUGGCUCUGCUUCCAUGGCAUCACCUGCCAAUUCCUUUGUGGGAACGCCGUAUUGGAUGGCCCCAGAAGUAAUUUUAGCCAUGGAUGAAGGACAAUAUGAUGGCAAAGUAGAUGUGUGGUCUCUUGGAAUAACAUGUAUUGAACUAGCGGAAAGGAAGCCUCCUUUAUUUAAUAUGAAUGCAAUGAGUGCCUUAUAUCACAUAGCCCAAAAUGAAUCCCCUACACUACAGUCUAAUGAAUGGUCUGAUUAUUUUCGCAACUUUGUAGAUUCUUGCCUCCAGAAAAUCCCUCAAGAUCGACCUACAUCAGAGGAACUUUUAAAGCACAUAUUUGUUCUUCGGGAGCGCCCUGAAACCGUGUUAAUAGAUCUCAUUCAGAGGACAAAGGAUGCAGUAAGAGAGCUGGACAAUCUGCAGUAUCGAAAGAUGAAGAAACUCCUUUUCCAGGAGGCACAUAAUGGACCAGCAGUAGAAGCACAGGAAGAAGAAGAGGAACAAGAUCAUGGUGUUGGCCGGACAGGAACAGUUAAUAGUGUUGGAAGUAAUCAAUCCAUUCCCAGCAUGUCCAUCAGUGCCAGCAGCCAAAGCAGUAGUGUUAACAGUCUUCCAGAUGUCUCAGAUGACAAGAGUGAGCUAGACAUGAUGGAGGGAGACCACACAGUGAUGUCUAACAGUUCUGUUAUCCAUUUAAAACCAGAGGAAGAAAAUUACAGAGAAGAGGGAGAUCCUAGAACAAGAGCAUCAGAUCCACAAUCUCCACCCCAAGUAUCUCGUCACAAAUCACACUAUCGUAAUCGAGAACACUUUGCUACUAUACGGACAGCAUCACUGGUUACGAGGCAAAUGCAAGAACAUGAGCAGGACUCUGAGCUUAGAGAACAAAUGUCUGGCUAUAAGCGAAUGAGGCGACAACAUCAAAAGCAACUGAUGACUCUGGAAAAUAAGCUAAAGGCUGAGAUGGAUGAACAUCGCCUCAGAUUAGACAAAGAUCUUGAAACUCAGCGUAACAAUUUUGCUGCAGAAAUGGAGAAACUUAUCAAGAAACACCAGGCUGCUAUGGAGAAAGAGGCUAAAGUGAUGUCCAAUGAAGAGAAAAAAUUUCAGCAACAUAUUCAGGCCCAACAGAAGAAAGAACUGAAUAGUUUUCUCGAGUCCCAGAAAAGAGAGUAUAAACUUCGAAAAGAGCAGCUUAAAGAGGUACUUAUGUCAUAAAACUUUUCAAGCAAAUUUUCUGCUUAUUAAUUAUAUCCAAUGGUGACCAACUCAUAGAAGCAUUAGGAUAAAAUUAUCUUUUGUUGUUUAUGGUCACUAAAUGGGUAUUAGUUUAAAUGAUGACAUUGAUUAUAAUCAGUUACCCUUAACUGAGUUAUUUAGUUGAGUAGGAUUUAAAAUGAAUCAUUUCCUGAAAAUAUACUUUUUUAAUGUUUUUAUUUUAUAUUUAUUUAUUUUUGAGACAAAGAGUCUCGCUCUGUCACCCAGGCUCGAGUGCAGUGGCGCGCUCUCGGCUCACUUCAAGCUCCGCCUACUGGGUUCACGCCAUUCUCCUGCCUCAGCCUCCCUAGUAGCUGGGACUACAGGCGCCCACCACCACACCCGGCAAACAUUUGGUAUUUUUUUUAGUAGAGACGGGGUUUCACCAUGUUAGCCAGGAUGGUCUCGAUCUCCUGACCUUGUGAUCCGCCUGCCUCGGCCUCCCAAAGUGCUAGGAUUACAGGCAUGAGCCAUCGUGCCUGGCCUUAUGUUUUUAUUUUUUGUGUGUAUUUUUUGAGACAGUCUUAUUCUGUUCCACGGGCUGGAGUGCAGUGGCACAAUCAUAGCUCACUGCAGCUUCGACCUCCCGUGCUCAAGGAAUCCUGCUUUAGCCUUCCAAGUAGCUGGGAACACAAGCACACACCACCACUCCUGGCUGAUUUUUAAAUUUAUUUUUUGUAGAGACAGGGUCUUGCCAUGUUGCCUAGUCUGGUCUCAAACUCCUGGGCUCAAGCAGUCUGCCUACCUCGGCUUCCCAAAGUGCUGGGAUUAUAGGCAUGAGCCACCGCACCUGAUCACAUUUAUUACUUUAAAAGUAAACAAUAAUGUCUUACUUUUGGAUCAGAAGAUUAUAAUAAUUUGUUUUUAUGCCAAUUUAAAUGUAGAAUAAGGGAGAUAUUUGCUUAUCAGGUUUUUUUUAAGUAGAAUAUGCUGAUUAUUUCUUUGUGGCUACAGGGUUUCAUAUUUGUUUGCCCUUUCUUGUGCUGCCCGGCCUCCCCCCCACCCCCCGCUUUUGAGACGGAAGUCUCACUCUGUCAUACAGGCUGGAGUGCAGUGGUGUGAUCUUGGCUCACUGCAGCCUCCCCUCCCCCCAGGUUGAAAGGAUUCUCCUGCCUCAGCCCCCCCGAGUAGCUGGGAUUACAGGUGUGUGCCACCAUGCCUGGCUAAUUUGUAUAUUUUUUUUAGUAGAGACGGGGUUUCACCAUGUUAGCCAGGCUGGUUUCAAACUCCUGACCUCAGACGAUCUACCCACCUCGGCCCCCCAAAGUGCUGGGAUUACAAGAGUUAGCCACCACUCCCGGCUCCUGUGCUGCUUUUUGUUUGUUUGUUUGGUUUGGUUUGGUUUGGUUUGGUUUGGUUUGGUUUGGUUUGGUUUGGUUUGGUUUGGUUUGAGAUGGAGUCUCACUCUGUUGCCCAGGCUGGGGUGCAGUGGCAUGAUCUCGGCUCACUGCAACCUUUGCCGCCUGGGUUCAAGUGAUUCUCCUGCCUCAGCCUCUUGAGUAGCUGGCAUUACAGGCGACUGCCACCACGCCUGGCUGAUUUUUGUAUUUUUAGUAGAGAUGAGGGUUUCACCAUCUUGGCCAGGCUGGUCUUGAGCUCCUGACCUUGUGAUCCACCCGCCUCAGCCUCCCAAAGUGCUGGGACUACAGGCGUGAGCCACAACAUCCAGCCGACAACUUUUUUUUUUUCUUUUGAGACAGAGUCUUGCUCUGUCACCCAGGCUGGAGUGCAGUGGCGCGAUCUCGGCUCACUGCAAGCUCUGCCUCCCAGGUUCACACCAUUCUCCUGCCUCCGGCUCCCGAGUAGCUGGGACUACAGGGACCCACCACCACGCCCGGCUAAUUUUUUGUAUUUUUGGUAGAGACUGGAUUUCACCAUGUUAGCCAGGAUGGUCUCAAUCUCCUGACCUCAUGAUCUGCUCGCCUUGGCCUCCCAAAGUGCUGGGAUUACAGGCGUGACCCACCAUGCCUGGCCCGACAACUUCUUAAAGAGGAUCAUUAUUCAAGAUAGUCACUAGGACAGAAAAAUGAUAUGUCUUUUAAUUUAUCCACCCCCCCGUCUUAUAGGAUGAUUGAAAUUUUUAGUUCAUAUAAUUAAUUAGCAUACUAUGAUACAUCGAUUGAUUUUGAUAAAAUAAGUAUAAUCAAUUUGAUAUUAAUGAUUUUUGUAUGUGUAGGAAUUUGCCUUAUAAUCAGAUACGUAUGUCUUGUUGUGUACAUAUUGGUGGCACAAAGACUUGCUCUAUAUCUUGCCAAGUGAGCUUCACUGACAAGAUUUUUACAACUCUAAAUGGUAUAAUUUGCAGUAUACUCCCAUGACUAUAAUUCGAAAGCCAAACUCUACUGGAAGUUUGAGUUUGAAACAAUAGUAAAUAGAGUUUCCAACUAUAAAUAAAUCUCCAACAAAAUGCAGUUGUUUUGUUUUCCAGUGAAAUCAGACUUUAGCUUUAUGGAUUAGUUUGUUUAGAUAAUCCUUUAGGCAUAUACCAUAUAGUCAAACAAAUAAAUGCAUUUUCUUUUAGAAGCUAAGUUGUUGUGUAUGUAUUUGUGUUCAUUUAGAAUAAUGAUUCUCAGUAGAGAGGAAGGGACAUAUCAGAGUCUUGGAGGGGAGAGUUCCCUGGCAGAAGAUUUUGAAAAAGAUACCCAGGUAUGGCCAGGCGCGGUGGCUCACCCCUGUAAUCCCAGCACUUUGGGAGGCCGAGGCGGGCAAAUCACAAGGUCGGGAGUUUGAGACUAGCCUGCCCAAUAUGGUGAAACACUGUCUCUACUAAAAAUACAAAAAAAUUAGCCGGGCGUGGUGGCACAUACUUAUAAUCCCAGCUACUCAGGAGGCUGAGGCAGGAGAAUUGCUUGAACCCGGGAGGCAGAGGUUGCAGUGAGCCGAGAUCAUGCCACUGCACUCCAGCCUGGGUGACAGAGUGAGACUCCAUCUCAAAAAAUAAAUUAAAAAAAUAAAAAGUAAAAAAAUUAGCCAAGCAUGGUGGCACACAACUGUCAUGCCAGCUACACAAGAGGGUGAGGCAGGAGAAUCCCUGUAACUUGGAAGGUGGAGGUUGCAGUGAGCUGGGCCACUGCACUGCAGCCUGAGCGACAGAGCUAGACUCUGCCUCGAAAAAGAAAAAGAUAACCAGGUAUAUAGUCUACUUGUGUGCCCAUGUUAUUCCUUUCUCUUCCCAUAGCGUGCAUACACAUAAACUCUUAAGUAAUAAUUUAUGUGCUUUUUAUUUUUAUGUGUUUGAAUAUUUUAUUAACUAAAGGGAAAGACCAUGAAUGAGGUCUAGUAGUCUCUGAAAAAUGAUCCUAUACUAAGAAAAAUGAGCUAUUUAUAUUCUAAACAAUGUUGAUGGUGUUUUGUUUUGCUUUUUUUGAGACAGGGUUUCGCUCUGUCACCCAUGCUGGAGUGCAGUGGCACAACACUGCUCACUGCAGCCUUGACCUCCCAGGCUGAAGCAGUUUUCCCACCUCACCCUCCCAAGUAGUUGGGACCACAGACGCAUACCACCAUGCCCAGCUAAUUUUAUAAUUUAUUUUUUGUAGAAACAGUGUUGCCAUAUUCUCCAAACUGGUCUCAAACUCCUGGGCUCAAGCAAUCCUCCGGCCUUGGCGUCCCAAAAUGCUGGGAUUACAGAUGGAUGUGAGCCACCAUGCCUGGCCACAGAAUGCUAAUACUAGUAUAUAUUUUACCAAAAGAGUAUCAAGGCCAGAGUGGUGGGUGGCACAUGCUUAUAACAGCACUUUGGGAGGCUGAGGUGGGAGGAUCGCUUGAGCCCAGGAGUUCAAGACCAGCCUGGGCAACAUGUUGAGACCCUGUGUCUAGCAAAAAAAAAAAAAAAAAAAAUUCAUUAGCCAGGCAUGGUGGGACACACCUGUGGUCCUAGCUACUCGGUAGUCUUAGGUGGGAAGAUCACUUGAACCUGGGAGGUCCAUGCUGCAGGGAGCUGAAUUCGUGCCAGUGCAUUCCAGCCUGGGUCACAGAGUGAAAUUCGAUCU
This 5599-nucleotide small RNA is filed under the name Pan troglodytes (chimpanzee). RNAcentral's name for it is "retained intron". Lineage: Eukaryota; Metazoa; Chordata; Mammalia; Primates; Hominidae. The record is from RNAcentral.